CAGCCGCCGCGGUAAUACGUAGGGUGCGAGCGUUAAUCGGAAUUACUGGGCGUAAAGCGUGCGCAGGCGGUUGUGUAAGACAGGUGUGAAAUCCCCGGGCUUAACCUGGGAACUGCGCUUGUGACUGCACAGCUAGAGUAUGGCAGAGGGGGGUGGAAUUCCACGUGUAGCAGUGAAAUGCGUAGAGAUGUGGAGGAACACCGAUGGCGAAGGCAGCCCCCUGGGCCAAUACUGACGCUCAUGCACGAAAGCGUGGGGAGCAAGCAGGAUUAGAUACCCCUGUAGUCCCUGUCUCUUAUAA
RNAcentral lists this ribosomal RNA (301 nucleotides) under uncultured bacterium. Its description in RNAcentral is "partial 16S ribosomal RNA". It matches the Rfam family "Bacterial small subunit ribosomal RNA", at positions 509 to 809 of the family's 1533-position model. The record is from RNAcentral.